AUGUGUGUGUUUUUAUAUAUACUUUUUUAUAUAUGUGUGUGUGUGUGUAUAUAUAUAUUUGCAGUGGGGACAUGUGGUGGUGUCAGAGGUGCUUGCAGCGGGUGGCAACCUACUUCUCCGGUGUGGCCGGUGGCCAGGCUGGUGGCACCUCUCACACCCGUCCGUCUGUCCCCCCUCCCCAGAAAUGAUUUACAGGCACGUGGCCGUCAUCGACGGGGACAUGGUGCACUUCGAGAUCCUCGACACCGCAGGGCAGGAGGAAGACUCCCUGCAGAUCGAGGAGAAGAUCAAGUGGGGCGACGGCUUCGCCGUGGUCUACUCGGUGACGGACCGCUGCAGCUUCGACGAGGUGGUGCGCCUCUGCUUCCUCGUCAACCACCUCCACGGCAGCCCCAAGCGCCCCGCCGGCGCCGACCAGCCGCCCGUCGUCCUCGUGGCCAACAAGAAGGACUUGCAGUACGACCGCAUGGUGUCCACCGAGGAGGGCCAGAGCCUCGCCAAGGCCUUGAAGCUGCCUUUCUACGAGAUCUCCACCCGCGACAGCUACGAGGAGACGGUGGCCGUGUUCGGCUGCCUCUACCAGGAGCUCCUGAGRCAGGGGCACUUCUCCCCGGGCUCCUUCAAGAGGCGGACGGCCUCCAAGCUGGUGGAGAAGAUCCCCAAGAUGCAGGCGAGCUCCACCUUGACGUCGGCGGGCCGCAGCCUCAGCUUCAACUCCUUCAGGGACUACAUCCCCGAGUGAGCGUCCCCGGGCCGGCGCCGCCGCCUCCGGGGACCUUCUCAGGCCCGCGGCGGGGGGGUUCUGGUUUUAACGUGGAUCGGCCGGGACGGCCUCCCCCCUCCUCCUCCUCCUCCUCCUCCUCUCUCCGCUUGCGCCCCAAAUGCCCGUUAAUCCCUGGCUUUUCUGCAAAAUGACAAAAAAAGCAUUUAUUACCGUUUCAGGCUCCCCGGCGCUCUCUCUUUGGAUGCCACCAUGAAUAAAACGCCUGCGCUGGGCGCCGCUGCCGGGGGG
This 1012-nucleotide long non-coding RNA is filed under the name Dromaius novaehollandiae (emu). RNAcentral's name for it is "lncRNA (ENSDNVG00000002426.1)". The record is from RNAcentral. Lineage: Eukaryota; Metazoa; Chordata; Aves; Casuariiformes; Dromaiidae.